Molecule: ribosomal RNA, 440 nt
Filed under: uncultured bacterium
Lineage: Bacteria
Description: partial 16S ribosomal RNA
Rfam family: Bacterial small subunit ribosomal RNA
Source: RNAcentral
CCUACGGGAGGCAGCAGUGGGGAAUAUUGGACAAUGGGGGGAACCCUGAUCCAGCGACGCCGCGUGAGUGAAGAAGUACUUCGGUAUGUAAAGUUCUAUCAGCAGGGAGGAAAAUGACGGUACUUGACUAAUAAGCACCGGCUAACUACGUGCCAGCAGCCGCGGUAAUACGUAGGGGGCAAGCGUUAUCCGGUUAUACUGGGUGUAAAGGUAGCGUAGACGGUUGAGCAAGUCUGAUGUGAAAGGUCUGGGCCCAACCCCGGGACUGCAUUGGAGACUGUUGAACUGGAGUACAGGAGAGGUAAGUAGAAUUCCUAGUGUAGCGGUGAAAUGCGUAGAGAUUAGGAAGAACACCAGUGGCGAAGGCGGAUUACUGGACGACGACUGACGGUGAGGCGCGAAAGCGUGGGGAGCAAACAGGAUUAGAUACCCGAGUAGUC